UUCAAGGAGCGAAAACGAGAAUUUUCAGAAAAAACGAUUUUUGAGCUUCGGACCCUCUAGGUUCAGACCUUGAAGCCAGGGUCUGGACCUUGGCCGCGCUGGGCGAAGAACAUGCUAUGGGUUUUGGACCCUGGAGCCAGGGUCCAGACCCUGCGCACGCUGCCAGCCCAUAAUGAAAGCAUUUUGGUAAUUUGGCUUGAGGGGCCUUAUUAAGGGACCUUCAUCUCUUCUCUCUCAGCCAAGAACACACACACACAUGCUUGGAGAGAGAAAGAGAAGCUCUCCCUCUCCCUCACAACCUCAUCUCUUUC
This 311-nucleotide long non-coding RNA is filed under the name Ananas comosus (pineapple). RNAcentral describes it as "long non-coding RNA (ACOM_LNC009973)". The record is from RNAcentral. Lineage: Eukaryota; Viridiplantae; Streptophyta; Magnoliopsida; Poales; Bromeliaceae.